This 253-nucleotide ribosomal RNA is filed under the name uncultured bacterium. RNAcentral describes it as "partial 16S ribosomal RNA". It matches the Rfam family "Bacterial small subunit ribosomal RNA", at positions 524 to 776 of the family's 1533-position model. The record is from RNAcentral.
UACAGAGGUGGCAAGCGUUGUUCGGAAUUACUGGGCGUAAAGGGCGCGUAGGCGGCUUGGUAAGUCCCGUGUGAAAUCCCUCGGCUCAACCGAGGAACUGCACGGGAAACUGCCUGGCUUGAGUUCGGGAGAGGGAAGCGGAAUUCCGGGUGUAGCGGUGAAAUGCGUAGAUAUCCGGAGGAACACCGGUGGCGAAGGCGGCUUCCUGGACCGACACUGACGCUGAGGCGCGAAAGCUAGGGGAGCAAACGGG